Molecule: ribosomal RNA, 395 nt
Filed under: uncultured bacterium #0319-8H5
Lineage: Bacteria; Pseudomonadati; Pseudomonadota; Alphaproteobacteria
Description: bacterial SSU rRNA
Rfam family: Bacterial small subunit ribosomal RNA
Source: RNAcentral
UGGGUGGAUUAGUGGCGAACGGGUGAGUAACACGUGAGUAACCUGCCCUUAACUCUGGGAUAAGCCUGGGAAACUGGGUCUAAUACCGGAUAUGANUCCUCAUCGCAUGGUGGGGGGUGGAAAGCUUUUUGUGGUUUUGGAUGGACUCGCGGCCUAUCAGCUUGUUGGUGAGGUAAUGGCUUACCAAGGCGACGACGGGUAGCCGGCCUGAGAGGGUGACCGGCCACACUGGGACUGAGACACGGCCCAGACUCCUACGGGAGGCAGCAGUGGGGAAUAUUGCACAAUGGGCGCAAGCCUGAUGCAGCGACGCCGCGUGAGGGAUGACGGCCUUCGGGUUGUAAACCCCUUUCAGUAGGGAAGAAGCGAAAGUGACGGUACCUGCAGAAGAAGCG